ACUGCACUUCAGCCUGGGCGAUAGAGUGAGAUUCCGUCUCAAAAAACAAAAAACAAAAGAAGGGUUACCUUGUGGAAGUUUCAGAACCAAGGGGCCUUUUGAGACCCCUAGUGAGAGCUGGGUGUGUGUGGGCAGGGCAAGUGAAGUCUGAAAUGAGUGGAGCUGAAGUUAGGCGGGAGAACAUUCGACCUAUCACCUGAUGUGCGAGGUUGUGAGUGGGUGAUUCAGUUCCCACAGAAGCUCUGGUCAGAAAGAAAGGUCUUUGCUUUCAGAAAUAUACUCCACAUUGCAGAGGAUUUGAUCGCAAACACACCACACUACCCUCUGUGCACUUUCCUCUUUCAAUGAGAAUCAUGGCAAAAUAAAACUUAGCAGAGUUCCUGGGUUUGCAGAGCACCUGCAUAAAAGCACAUCUCUCUCUGAAUAAAACAUGCACACACAUCCUAAGGCACUUGAUCCCUUUCUUUUUUCUUUUCUUUUCUUUUUUUUGAGAUGGAGUCUCGCUCUGUCACCCAGGCUGGAGUGCAAUGGUGCAAUCUUGGCUCACUGCAACCUCCACCUCCUGGGCUCAAGUGAUUCUCCUGCCUUAGCCUCCUGCGUAGCUGGGAUUACAGGUGCCCACCACCAAGCCUGGCUAAUUUUUGUAUUUUUAGUAGAUGCAGGGUUUUGCCAUGUUGACCAGGCUGGCCUCAAACUCCUGAUUUCAGGCAAUCUGCCCACCUCAGCCUCCCAAAGUGCUGGGAUUACAGGCGUGAGCCGCCGCGCCUGUCCCCGAUCCCUUUUAGAGUGUGUGUUGCAUCUUGUCUUGACACAAUCUGGUAGCUCCAGACAACAGAAAACACAAGACUGCCCCAGUGCAGUGAAACAGUCUGGAGACACGGGGAGAACUUCUAUGGUAGAUCCAUCAGUAACUCAAGGUAUUGGGUGGGAGAGAAAUUCGAUUCCAUAACUAUGUAGCUCAAUCCAGUGUAGUAACAGAUGAAAAAAUGCAUCUGAAUGCAUCUGUUGCAUAUUCUUUUGUUUCACAUCACUUCUGUGUAUAAAUGUGUGUGUGUGUAUAUAUAUAUAUAUAUAUAUAUAUAUAUAUAUAUAUAUAAAUUUUUUUUUAAAUGGAGUCUUGCUCUGUCACCAGGCUGGAGUGCAAUGGCAUGAUCUCAGCCCACUGCAACCUCUGCCUCCCGGGUUCAAGUGAUUCUCUUGCCUCAGCCUCCUGAGUAGCUGAGAUUACAGGCGCGCACCACCAUGCCCAGCCUAAUUUGUGUAUUUUUAGUAGAGAUGGGGUUUUAUUCUGUUGGCCAGGAUGGUCUCGAUCUCUUAACCUCAUGAUCGACCUGCCUCGGCCUCCCAAAGUGCUGGGACUACAGGCGUGAGCCACCGUGCCCGGCUAAUUCUGUAUAUAUAUGUAUAUAUAUUUUUUCAGAAUGAUUGACUAUUCCAGAAUUAAAUGUGAUGAGAAGUAUCCUUGUAGAAGCCAAAAGAAUAAGCUGAAAGGCGUAAGGCUUUAAAAUAUCAAAAUCCCUCUUCAUAUAUCACGAUAGAAACAAAAACUCUGAUAGUCAGAAUCAUGAACGAAACUGUUUUAAUCCACCAAUAAUAAUGAAUUUCAAUUACCCAUGUUUUGGAGUAAAAUCGAAUUAUCUUUCUAUUCUCUUUACAGGAAAAAAUUAUAAUUAUAAAAGUAUUGUCAUGUUAGGAGGUGGUAAAACAGUAUGUAACCCAAAACAGAGAAAAAUGGUAUUAUAGAAAUGGGUCAGGUAGUUAAGAAAUAAAAACAUCAGCACUUUCCUGUGUUUUGUGGUGUUUGCAAUAUUUGUGAGCUUUGUAACAUUCGACUUGUGAUUUUUUUCCUUCUCAUUCUAGUAAAUAUUCAGGUUGGUGUCUAGUUUUGUAGUUGCAAUUUUGUCUUCUUUUUCUUUUUCUUUUCUUUUCUUUUUCUUUUUCUUUCUUCUUUUUUUUUUUUUUUUGAGAGAGAGUCUCGCUCUGUUACCCAGGCUGGAGUGCAGUGGCGCGAUCUCGGCUCACUGCAACCUCCGCCUCCCGGGUUCAAGUAAUUCUCCUGCCUCAGUCUCCUAAGUAGCUGGGAUUACAGGCGUGUGCCGCCACGUCUGGCUAAUUGUUUUUGUAUGUUUAGUAGGGACAGGGUUUCACCUUGUUGGUCAGGCUAGUCUCGAACUCCUGACCUCAUGAUCCACCUGCAUCAGCCUCCCAAAGUGCUGGGAUUACAGGCAUGAGCCACUACACCCGGCCUUAUUUUUCUUAAAGAGCCCCUGUCCAGUUGUGUAAGCUCCAGGCUCCUUGGCGCCUGGCUUCACCCCACCCUCUCAGCAUCCCCUGCCCAGGGAAUCCACUUUACUGGAGUUGGGGGUAGAUUCCAAC
RNAcentral lists this long non-coding RNA (2376 nucleotides) under Homo sapiens (human). RNAcentral describes it as "non-protein coding lnc-TPCN2-8:1". Lineage: Eukaryota; Metazoa; Chordata; Mammalia; Primates; Hominidae. The record is from RNAcentral.